Molecule: transfer RNA, 85 nt
Filed under: Actinoplanes utahensis
Lineage: Bacteria; Bacillati; Actinomycetota; Actinomycetes; Micromonosporales; Micromonosporaceae
Description: tRNA-Gly
Source: RNAcentral
CUGGCCGGUCGGCCGGUGCCGCCGGUCGGCCGGUGCCGCCGGUCGGCCGGUGCCGCCGGUCGGCCGGUGCCGCCGGUCGGCCGGU